This 352-nucleotide ribosomal RNA is filed under the name uncultured bacterium. RNAcentral's name for it is "bacterial SSU rRNA". It matches the Rfam family "Bacterial small subunit ribosomal RNA", at positions 96 to 446 of the family's 1533-position model. The record is from RNAcentral.
UGGCGGACGGGUGAGUAACGCGUGAGCAACCUGCCUUUCAGAGGGGGAUAACAUUUGGAAACAGAUGCUAAUACCGCAUAAGAUUACAGUACCGCAUGAUACAGUGAUCAAAGGAGCAAUCCGCUGAAAGAUGGGCUCGCGUCCGAUUAGAUAGUUGGUGAGGUAACGGCUCACCAAGUCGACGAUCGGUAGCCGGACUGAGAGGUUGAACGGCCACAUUGGGACUGAGACACGGCCCAGACUCCUACGGGAGGCAGCAGUGGGGAAUAUUGCACAAUGGGCGAAAGCCUGAUGCAGCAACGCCGCGUGAGGGAAGACGGUUUUCGGAUUGUAAACCUCUGUUUUCGGUGAC